RNAcentral lists this ribosomal RNA (451 nucleotides) under uncultured Aeromonas sp. RNAcentral describes it as "bacterial SSU rRNA". It matches the Rfam family "Bacterial small subunit ribosomal RNA", at positions 77 to 524 of the family's 1533-position model. Lineage: Bacteria; Pseudomonadati; Pseudomonadota; Gammaproteobacteria; Aeromonadales; Aeromonadaceae. The record is from RNAcentral.
UGCUACUUUUGCCGGCGAGCGGCGGACGGGUGAGUAAUGCCUGGGAAAUUGCCCAGUCGAGGGGGAUAACAGUUGGAAACGACUGCUAAUACCGCAUACGCCCUACGGGGGAAAGCAGGGGACCUUCGGGCCUUGCGCGAUUGGAUAUGCCCAGGUGGGAUUAGCUAGUUGGUGAGGUAAUGGCUCACCAAGGCGACGAUCCCUAGCUGGUCUGAGAGGAUGAUCAGCCACACUGGAACUGAGACACGGUCCAGACUCCUACGGGAGGCAGCAGUGGGGAAUAUUGCACAAUGGGGGAAACCCUGAUGCAGCCAUGCCGCGUGUGUGAAGAAGGCCUUCGGGUUGUAAAGCACUUUCAGCGAGGAGGAAAGGUCGGUGGCUAAUAUCCGCUGGCUGUGACGUUACUCGCAGAAGAAGCACCGGCUAACUCCGUGCCAGCAGCCGCGGUAAU